AGAGCGAACGCUGGCGGCGUGCUUAACACAUGCAAGUCGAACGCGCAGCAUUCUGUAGCAAUACAGGGUGUGGGCGCGUGGCGAACGGGUGCGUAACACGUGGAUAACCUUCCUUGAGGUGGGAAUAACCCAGUGAAAAUUGGGCUAAUACCGCAUAACAUCGCGAUGGCACAUGCUGAUGCGAUCAAAGGCGCAAGUCGCCACAAGAGGGAUCCGCGGCCGAUUAGCUUGUUGGCGAGGUAAUGGCCCACAAGGCGACGACGGGUA
This 267-nucleotide ribosomal RNA is filed under the name uncultured bacterium. RNAcentral describes it as "partial small subunit ribosomal RNA". It matches the Rfam family "Bacterial small subunit ribosomal RNA", at positions 26 to 285 of the family's 1533-position model. The record is from RNAcentral.